CAGCAGCCGCGGGAAUACGUAGGUCCCGAGCGUUGUCCGGAUUAUUGGGCGUAAAGCGAGCGCAGGCGGUUAGAUAAGUCUGAAGUUAAAGGCUGUGGCUUAACCAUAGUACGCUUUGGAAACUGUUUAACUUGAGUGCAAGAGGGGAGAGUGGAAUUCCAUGUGUAGCGGUGAAAUGCGUAGAUAUAUGGAGGAACACCGGUGGCGAAAGCGGCUCUCUGGCUUGUAACUGACGCUGAGGCUCGAAAGCGUGGGGAGCAAACAGGAUUAGAUACCCGGGUAGUCCCUGUCUCUUAUACAC
RNAcentral lists this ribosomal RNA (301 nucleotides) under uncultured bacterium. RNAcentral describes it as "partial 16S ribosomal RNA". It matches the Rfam family "Bacterial small subunit ribosomal RNA", at positions 509 to 809 of the family's 1533-position model. The record is from RNAcentral.